Molecule: ribosomal RNA, 468 nt
Filed under: uncultured bacterium
Lineage: Bacteria
Description: partial 16S ribosomal RNA
Rfam family: Bacterial small subunit ribosomal RNA
Source: RNAcentral
GACGAACGCUGGCGGCGUGCUUAACACAUGCCAGUCGAACGGAAGGGCCCGGCGUUUGUGGGGUGCUCGAGUGGCGAACGGGGGAGUAACACGUGAGUAACCUGCCCUUGACUUUGGGAUAACUUCAGGAAACUGCGGCUAAUACCGGAUAGGAUCUCCUGCUGCACGGGGGGGGAUGGAAAGAUUCGGCGGUUGGGGAUCGACUCGCUGCUUAUGCGCUGGUUGGUGGGGUAGUGGUUUACCAAGGCUUUGACGGGUAGCCGGCAUGAGAGGGUGAACGGCCACAUGGGUACUGCGAGACGGCGCAGACUCGUACGGGAGGCAGCAGGCGGGAAUAUUGCACAAUGGGCGGGAGCCUGAUGCAGCAACGCCGCGUGCGGGAUGACGUCCUACGGGUUGUAAACCGAUUUCGCCGGUGACGAAGCGUGAGUGACGGUAAUGGGUAAAGAAGCACCGGCUAACUACGUG